UGGGGAAUAUUGGACAAUGGGCGAAAGCCUGAUCCAGCCAUGCCGCGUGUGUGAAGAAGGCCUUUUGGUUGUAAAGCACUUUAAGCGAGGAGGAGGAGCUUCAGGUUAAUACCCUGGAUGCUUGGACGUUACUCGCAGAAUAAGCACCGGCUAACUCUGUGCCAG
This 165-nucleotide ribosomal RNA is filed under the name uncultured bacterium. Its description in RNAcentral is "partial 16S rRNA". It matches the Rfam family "Bacterial small subunit ribosomal RNA", at positions 355 to 511 of the family's 1533-position model. The record is from RNAcentral.